RNAcentral lists this ribosomal RNA (161 nucleotides) under Enterobacteriaceae bacterium. RNAcentral describes it as "partial 16S ribosomal RNA". It matches the Rfam family "Bacterial small subunit ribosomal RNA", at positions 127 to 290 of the family's 1533-position model. The record is from RNAcentral. Lineage: Bacteria; Pseudomonadati; Pseudomonadota; Gammaproteobacteria; Enterobacterales; Enterobacteriaceae.
UGCCUGAUGGAGGGGGAUAACUACUGGAAACGGUAGCUAAUACCGCAUAACGUCGCACAACCCAAAAGGGGGACCUUCUGGCCUCUUGCCAUCUCAUGUGCCCCCAUGGGAUUUGCUCUUAGGUGGGGUAACGGCUCUCCUAUGCGACAAUCCCUAUCUGG